Molecule: long non-coding RNA, 887 nt
Filed under: Ictidomys tridecemlineatus (thirteen-lined ground squirrel)
Lineage: Eukaryota; Metazoa; Chordata; Mammalia; Rodentia; Sciuridae
Description: lncRNA (ENSSTOG00000031481.1)
Source: RNAcentral
GCCGCAGCUCCCGGGGAGGGAGAGAACCAGGCCCGGAGAAAAGUUUAGUGCGAGAGGGGAAGGAGUUUUUCCGGAGGGAUGGCUAGAAUUCGGGUGGACCCGGGAGGACAGUUUGUUUUUCUUCGGAGCACAAGAGAGGCCUGCCCUCUGGAGCCCCAGCUCGCCCGCCACUCGCUCUGCUAGGACUGGCCUAACUCCCCUUCCCGGACUGUCCCCCACCCCCGGGACUGUGGACUGGCCUUUUGACUUUUCCUCCUCGCUGCAUCUUGGGCAUUCCAGGUGUCUUCCGGGGGACAUUGCUUCCCUCAGCCUGGCUGCGCUGGGAGCCCAAACUUGGACCAACUCUUUGUCCCUCCCUCCGGUGCGCUGGGGGGAUGCGCGGGGUGCCGGGAUCACGGCUGAGCGCGGGACCCCACCCGGGCUUGAUGGUGGUGGGGAACAGGGAGAAAAACACAAUCCCCCAAACCCCACCAGCUCCCCUCAAGGGUUAAAUUUUAAACCGCUUUUUCUCGGACAAGCCCGGAAACUCGGGGUGUAGGGGAAUUGCUCACAAUUGCAAAUGCUAAUAACUAGUUCAAUUUUUUAGAUCGAUUCUUUAAAGCUGUGGAGAGAGAGAGAGAGAGAGAGAGAGAGAGAGAGAGAGAGAGAGAGAGAGAGAGAGAAGCAAGAGAGCAAAGGAAAGAAACCGACAACUCUUUUCUAAGAUUUUAAAGCGAUAGGCAAGUUGGAGGAGCCGAGAUUUAUUUGGGGAUAAGCAAGGUUGUGGGAAGCCGACCCACAUUUGAAAGUCCAGCCCACCUGCUUGGUAGUUGGGACUGUUGAUUCCAGCUAUUAAUGAAAUGCACUUGGUGUUAAUCGAAUUUUUUUUAACUUUAUGGGAGGGACAC